RNAcentral lists this ribosomal RNA (253 nucleotides) under uncultured bacterium. Its description in RNAcentral is "partial 16S ribosomal RNA". It matches the Rfam family "Bacterial small subunit ribosomal RNA", at positions 524 to 776 of the family's 1533-position model. The record is from RNAcentral.
UACAGAGAGUGCGAACGUUGUUCGGAAUUACUGGGCUUAAAGAGCACGUAGGCGGCAUCGUAAGUGUCAGGUGAAAUCCCACGGCUCACCCGUGGAACUGCCCGGCAGACUGCGAUGCUCGAGUGUGGUAGGGGAGAACGGAACUCCUGGUGGAGCGGUGAAAUGCGUAGAUAUCAGGAGGAACACCGGUGGCGAAGGCGGUUCUCUGGUCCACAACUGACGCUGAGGUGCGAAAGCCAGGGGAGCAAACGGG